GUAAACAACCAAUUGCAAACUAAGGAAAAACGCAACCAAUAGGCAAAGUAUGCACAUCCUCUCCAUCGGAUUCCUUUUCAACAUCCCCCUCACAGUCGACGAUGGAAGCGCAGAAGUGCUACGCGGUCUCCGAGGACGAUUAUUCUGAUUGUCUCCUGACGGGGGAUCUUCCUCUUGUGAAGACAUUGAAGCCACCACCCAGAACUUUCUUUAUACAAUAUGAUGAGCAUCUGCGACGCUGUCGUUGUGGUGGAUUGUGGUCAUCGAAUCCAUCUCAUUGGCUAGACAAUAACAUCCGACCUUAUCUCGGUUGCCAUCCAAGCUCAGAUCAACCAUGAAGCCCAGUGAACGAUUUGCUUUGACGGUACAAUGGCUGAUGUACAAGGAUUUGAUGAAAUUAAACUCCUAUCUGAACUGCAA
Ornithodoros turicata is the source of this 420-nucleotide long non-coding RNA. RefSeq lists it as uncharacterized. Lineage: Eukaryota; Metazoa; Arthropoda; Arachnida; Ixodida; Argasidae. The record is from RefSeq and is a predicted model, not a curated record. The transcript is spliced from 2 exons.